This 254-nucleotide ribosomal RNA is filed under the name uncultured bacterium. RNAcentral's name for it is "partial 16S ribosomal RNA". It matches the Rfam family "Bacterial small subunit ribosomal RNA", at positions 524 to 776 of the family's 1533-position model. The record is from RNAcentral.
UACGUAGGGUGCAAGCGUUAUCCGGAAUUAUUGGGCGUAAAGAGCUCGUAGGUGGUUCGGUAAGUCGGGUGUUAAACCCCCAGGCUCAACCUGGGGACGCCACUCGAUACUGCUGUGACUUGAGUCCGGUAGGGGAGCGUGGAAUUCCUGGUGUAGCGGUGAAAUGCGCAGAUAUCAGGAGGAACACCAGCGGCGAAGGCGGCGCUCUGGGCCGGUACUGACACUGAGGAGCGAAAGCGUGGGUAGCAAACAGG